ACAUAUAUCAUUGUAAUAAGUGGAGACCGUUCUGUCAACCAAGAGCUCCCGGAGGACCAUGGGAGAACUAAAGCCUCUACUCCCCCACCGAAAGCACAACACCCAGUGAGUAGAGACCCUCCGACAACCAUUCUGCUAAAACAAAAGGAAAGCUGAAAAAUCACUCCGGCAUGUGAGGUCCAAGCAUGAGGCCAGGCAUCCUGUUCUUGCUAGGAUACCAACAUGGAGGCUACUAUUCCACAGGCUCCAGGAAAUCAGGACCACCACGGCAGCUGAGGCCUGGCCAGUCUCAAUGUCUGACCAUAACGGGUCACGUCAUGUGACAUGGUGCCACAGCUCACGUGCUGCUAUCUCACAGUGGGACCAAAGAUCUCAGAAAUCCCUAAGCCACUGCCACACAGUAGGCAUUCCAUGUUAGUGGUUCAGAAAUCUGCCUUGAUAUUUAGAUCACUUGGGAACAUUCUAGAACUUAUCAUUUCUGGGCCCAGUGAACCGGAAACUUCAGAGAAUGAGGCCAGAACAGACCACUCAGAUCCUUUCUCCUCCCCCAAGAAGAUCAGCCACGCAAGAAUAUCUGGAGCCCUCUCCCCUCCCUAAUACCACACGAGAUGGAGUGAUCAUGGGAAAUUCCCUCCACCCCCGUCCCAAGGCCUCUGAUCCCUGUAGCACUCCAAGGCUGGUACACUGUCUACGAACUUAGAGACAUCUGCCCAUCCCACCAUAGCGUGGCGUUGCGGUGGUGGUGACAAGAGUGAGGAAGCAUGCCUUGCUCUGACCUCCACGGGCCAGGCUCAGCCAUCUCUACCUUGCAUUUAAGGGUCAUCAUUGAUGGUUAUACUAUGUCAAAGAAGGUCUCCAAAGAUCAAGAGCUGUACUCUACAUUAGAUGUGGGGACCCAGAUAGCUGCCUUUCUAGGAACAAGAGAAACCACGCCAAAUGGAGCUGUGGGUACCCACUGUAGGUUUUCAAGGACGGGGCCUUAGCUACGGAUCCAGCUUGCCUCUCCAGUGAGCCCCCUCAGUGACCACCCCUGCUCACUUACACACACAGCCUGGCUUCUUAGCCGACCACUGGUUAUUCUUUUGGCACGUGAUUGAUUUCUGCCCCACCAGCUCAAAGGCAGGCUGGCAUUCAAACUUGAGGGUGUCACCGUGGCGAAAGCGAGAGCCUUCUCUCUGGCCAUAGGCAGGUAUGCCGGGGUCUCCGCAACUGCCCUGCUCGAUCUCUGAAAGACAAGAAGACAGAAAACGAGAGACAGGAAGGGUGAUGUUACAUCUGUUCCGGCAACACAUGUUCCCCCACUGCAUGCUUCGAGGCUGUCCUACAGUGAGUUCCUACACGGGAUUCCUAAGUCCUGCACGACAGUGUCCUAAGACAAUAGGGCCUUCCGUCAUCACAGCCUGUGACUUUGUGUCCACACACUGUAUCACAGAGACUUGGAUAUCUGCAGUCGUGAAAGGUGGGUGUUACAGCUUUGGAUGUGGAAUUUCCCUCACAGGCUCCUGUGUUUGAACACUUGGGAGUCCCCAUCUGGUAGCACUGUUUUGGGAGGUUGUGAAACUUCUGGGACAGUAACCUAGUUAGCAGAAGUGGGUGGCUGAGAGGGAGCCCCGAGGGACAUCUGUUUCGGGUUCUAUGUGGCCUGAGCUCUUCGCCUCUUGCUCUGUUAAAGAUGUGAACAAGCCCUGCCUCGAGCUCAUGGCCAUGGACGGAGCCCCAGCAAGGUGGGCACUAUCCCCAUGAAAUAUUAAAGUAAAAUAAACCCUUCGUACUUUA
Non-coding RNA from Rattus norvegicus (Norway rat), 1776 nucleotides. NCBI's taxonomy places the organism in Eukaryota, Metazoa, Chordata, Mammalia, Rodentia, Muridae. The record is from RefSeq and is a predicted model, not a curated record.